GUUUCUCGUUACCAUUCACUUCCCUCCCGAUUAUCCUUUCAAACCACCAAACUGUAGUAAAGUUAGCUUUUGAAAUGCCUCAAGGAAUCAAUGGCCUUAGAUCAAAGUUCAUAGUAAAGUCCUGCAGUAGAUGAUGACGGAGAUUGUUUUUCUCCCUUGGCGCUGAAUGCGACCUCCGUAAACGUUGAAGUCUAUUAUAACAAAGCUGUGAACUAUACAUUGAUGGUCACUUUUGUCUCGUUCCUACAGGUUCUUUUGUUGAUCCGACAAAUGGAGCACAGUAACACACAAUCCGGUGCUGCAAAGGUCUCUAUAGUAAUGAUCGGGUAACAAGCCAUCAUGGAUUCUUAUUUAUGCCUUUUACAUCUCACAGCUGGGAUUUUAGUUGGUAUGUAUUUUAUAAAAUAAUCUCACACUUGUGUUUCCUCUUUGUUUAGAUGGUAAUCUUAUGUUAUAACAAUGUUAAUGUUAAUUUUUGUAACUUUUAAAAUAUUAUUAUUUUAUUUGGGGGACCAAAUACAAAUAGACACCAAUGUUCAUACUAAAAAUAAGAACCUUUCAAAAUAAUACUUUUAAAUUUGGGGGACCAAAAAUUGUCCCUAACCAAU
This is a non-coding RNA of Camelina sativa (false flax), 608 nucleotides long. The record is from RefSeq and is a predicted model, not a curated record. Lineage: Eukaryota; Viridiplantae; Streptophyta; Magnoliopsida; Brassicales; Brassicaceae.